AGACAUCUCCUACGGGGGCAGCAGUGGGGAAUAUUGCGCAAUGGGCGAAAGCCUGACGCAGCGACGCCGCGUGAGGGAUGAAGGUCUUCGGAUCGUAAACCUCUGUCAGCAGGGAAGAACGGUCACUGUGCUAAUCAGCAGUGAAUUGACGGUACCUGCAAAGGAAGCACCGGCUAACUCCGUGCC
This 186-nucleotide ribosomal RNA is filed under the name uncultured bacterium. Its description in RNAcentral is "partial 16S ribosomal RNA". It matches the Rfam family "Bacterial small subunit ribosomal RNA", at positions 330 to 509 of the family's 1533-position model. The record is from RNAcentral.